Molecule: transfer RNA, 66 nt
Filed under: Lepidotrigona flavibasis
Lineage: Eukaryota; Metazoa; Arthropoda; Insecta; Hymenoptera; Apidae
Description: tRNA-Cys
Source: RNAcentral
UUAAUUAUAGUUUAUGAAUUAAAACAUUAAAUUGCAAGUUUGAAAAAAUUAAUAGAAUUAAUUAAU